GUCUCAAUGACCCAGUUGGUUAAGGCGUCUGCUUCGAGUGCAGAAGGUCGAAGGUUCGAAUCCCGGUUGAGACA
Non-coding RNA from Anneissia japonica, 74 nucleotides. Lineage: Eukaryota; Metazoa; Echinodermata; Crinoidea; Comatulida; Comatulidae. The record is from the annotation of a RefSeq genome assembly.